AAGAUGAGGAUGAUGAAAAUCAGAAAAAUGAAGAGGAAGAAGAAGAAAUUGGCGAAGAUGAUUAUCAUCAGAACUUUGAGUUUGCUGAUGACGAAGAUUAUUUGGAUAUGUCCAUGAUGGUGGCAAUGGCAAGCUUAAAUUUGUGUCCAUUUAAUACUAUUUUAUUUAAUAAAAAUAUUUAUAAUAAAUUAAAUUUGCCAAUGUAGCCUUUGCUAAUACAGUUUAUCACUAUCUUAAUGGAAGAUACCAGUGAUCACUUCUAACCAUAGCAAGCACAAGCGUUUGAUAUAGUCUCCAGUUUCAAGUAGGUUUAGCUUAAUACCCUCAGGAAAUAUAUCAAUGUAUAACGACUUUCUUUUUUUUUAUGUAUUGCAUGUUUCAUUA
Molecule: non-coding RNA, 384 nt
Organism: Amborella trichopoda
Lineage: Eukaryota; Viridiplantae; Streptophyta; Magnoliopsida; Amborellales; Amborellaceae
Source: RefSeq, a predicted model, not a curated record